This 253-nucleotide ribosomal RNA is filed under the name uncultured bacterium. RNAcentral describes it as "partial 16S ribosomal RNA". It matches the Rfam family "Bacterial small subunit ribosomal RNA", at positions 524 to 776 of the family's 1533-position model. The record is from RNAcentral.
UACGUAGGGGGCAAGCGUUGUCCGGAUUUAUUGGGCGUAAAGAGCGUGUAGGCGGCCUGAAAGGUCAGCUGUGAAAACUCGAGGCUCAACCUCGAGACGUCGGUUGAAACCAUCUGGCUAGAGUCCGGAAGAGGAGAGUGGAAUUCCCGGUGUAGCGGUGAAAUGCGCAGAUAUCGGGAAGAACACCCGUGGCGAAGGCGGCUCUCUGGGUCGAUACUGACGCUGAGGUGCGAAAGCGUGGGGAGCAAACAGG